This is a long non-coding RNA of Drosophila novamexicana, 414 nucleotides long. RefSeq lists it as uncharacterized. The record is from RefSeq and is a predicted model, not a curated record. The transcript has 2 exons. Lineage: Eukaryota; Metazoa; Arthropoda; Insecta; Diptera; Drosophilidae.
UUGAACGACAAAGGCCAAAACGUCCGCAUUCCGGCGAGCUGUGGGCUACUGCAAGGUGAACUUCGGGCGCCGAAUCAACAUCACAUCAACUGAUCAACGAUUAUUAUCUACUGCUGCAUUAUCAUCCAAGCGUUAAGUUCCAUUGCCGAUUUUAGGUAAAGAUUAGAACAGAAUAUAUUUGUUUUGAUUUUGGGUUCGUCCUCCUUCGCUUGCAUCCAAAUGGGAAAGUUCCCGGUUGAAUUUAUUUCUAAUAUGAUAAUCAAAAGAAUGAAAAUAAUAAACAAAAUAUAUUUGUCGGGCUGCCUCAAGGCCUUUUACCUUUCACUAUUCUCAUAUGCAUAUAAUCCAAUUAAUUUGUGAGCCAAAGUAGAGUCUAAAUUCCGGCAUAUAAAGCGUUAAUCUAUCAAGAAUGAA